Molecule: ribosomal RNA, 383 nt
Filed under: uncultured eukaryote
Lineage: Eukaryota
Description: partial 18S ribosomal RNA
Rfam family: Eukaryotic small subunit ribosomal RNA
Source: RNAcentral
CAAUAGCGUAUAUUAAAGUUGUUGCAGUUAAAAAGCUCGUAGUUGGAUUUCUGGUGGGAGCGAUCGGUCUGGCGCUUAGCGCGAGUACUUGCAUCGUCUCCGGCCAUCCUUGGGGAGAGUCUGUCUGGCAUUAGGUUGUCGGGCAGAGGAUCUUCAUCGUUUACUGUGAAAAAAUUAGAGUGUUCAAAGCAGGCUUAUGCCGUUGAAUAUAUUAGCAUGGAAUAAUAAGAUAGGACUUUGGUACUAUUUUGUUUGUUUGCGCACCAAAGUAAUGAUUAAUAGGGACAGUUGGGGGUAUUCGUAUUCCGUUGUCAGAGGUGAAAUUCUUGGAUUUACGGAAGACGAACUACUGCGAAAGCAUUUACCAAGGAUGUUUUCAUUAA